CGGGACGUAGCGCAGUUUGGUAGCGCACUUGACUGGGGGUCAAGGGGUCGUGGGUUCAAAUCCCGCCGUCCCGA
Transfer RNA from Nocardiopsis sp. NRRL B-16309, 74 nucleotides. It matches the Rfam family "tRNA". From Rfam's summary of the family: Transfer RNA (tRNA) molecules are approximately 80 nucleotides in length. The record is from Rfam. NCBI's taxonomy places the organism in Bacteria, Bacillati, Actinomycetota, Actinomycetes, Streptosporangiales, Nocardiopsidaceae.